Molecule: ribosomal RNA, 465 nt
Filed under: uncultured Klebsiella sp.
Lineage: Bacteria; Pseudomonadati; Pseudomonadota; Gammaproteobacteria; Enterobacterales; Enterobacteriaceae
Description: bacterial SSU rRNA
Rfam family: Bacterial small subunit ribosomal RNA
Source: RNAcentral
CCUACGGGAGGCUGCAGUGGGGAAUAUUGCACAAUGGGCGCAAGCCUGAUGCAGCCAUGCCGCGUGUGUGAAGAAGGCCUUCGGGUUGUAAAGCACUUUCAGCGGGGAGGAAGGCGUUAAGGUUAAUAACCUUGUCGAUUGACGUUACCCGCAGAAGAAGCACCGGCUAAUUCCGUGCCAGCAGCCGCGGUAAUACGGAGGGUGCAAGCGUUAAUCGGAAUUACUGGGCGUAAAGCGCACGCAGGCGGUCUGUCAAGUCGGAUGUGAAAUCCCCGGGCUCAGCCUGGGAACUGCAUUCGAAACUGGCAGGCUAGAGUCUUGUAGAGGGGGGUAGAAUUCCAGGUGUAGCGGUGAAAUGCGUAGAGAUCUGGAGGAAUACCGGUGGCGAAGGCGGCCCCCUGGACAAAGACUGACGCUCAGGUGCGAAAGCGUGGGGAGCAAACAGGAUUAGAUACCCUUGUAGUC